RNAcentral lists this ribosomal RNA (506 nucleotides) under uncultured bacterium. RNAcentral describes it as "partial 16S ribosomal RNA". It matches the Rfam family "Bacterial small subunit ribosomal RNA", at positions 29 to 523 of the family's 1533-position model. The record is from RNAcentral.
AGUGAACGCUGGCGGUAGGCCUAACACAUGCAAGUCGAACGGCAGCACAGAGGAGCUUGCUCCUUGGGUGGCGAGUGGCGGACGGGUGAGGAAUACAUCGGAAUCUACUCUGUCGUGGGGGAUAACGUAGGGAAACUUACGCUAAUACCGCAUACGACCUACGGGUGAAAGCAGGGGACCUUCGGGCCUUGCGCGAUUGAAUGAGCCGAUGUCGGAUUAGCUAGUUGGCGGGGUAAAGGCCCACCAAGGCGACGAUCCGUAGCUGGUCUGAGAGGACGAUCAGCCACACUGGAACUGAGACACGGUCCAGACUCCUACGGGAGGCAGCAGUGGGGAAUAUUGGACAAUGGGCGCAAGCCUGAUCCAGCCAUACCGCGUGGGUGAAGAAGGCCUUCGGGUUGUAAAGCCCUUUUGUCGGGAAAGAAAUCCAGCUGGCUAAUACCCGGUUGGGAUGACGGUACCCAAAGAAUAAGCACCGGCUAACUUCGUGCCAGCCGCCGCUGUAA